UACGGAGGGUGCAAGCGUUGUCCGGAUUUAUUGGGUUUAAAGGGUGCGUAGGCGGUUCGUUAAGUCCGGGGUGAAAGCCCACUGCUCAACAGUGGAACUGCCCUGGAAACUGGCGGACUUGAGUACAGACGAGGGCGGCGGAAUGGAGGGUGUAGCGGUGAAAUGCAUAGAUACCCUCCAGAACCCCGAUUGCGAAGGCAGCUGCCUAGACUGUAACUGACGCUGAGGCACGAAAGCGUGGGGAGCAAACAGG
This 253-nucleotide ribosomal RNA is filed under the name uncultured bacterium. RNAcentral describes it as "partial 16S ribosomal RNA". It matches the Rfam family "Bacterial small subunit ribosomal RNA", at positions 524 to 776 of the family's 1533-position model. The record is from RNAcentral.